This 510-nucleotide ribosomal RNA is filed under the name Pseudoalteromonas atlantica. Its description in RNAcentral is "bacterial SSU rRNA". It matches the Rfam family "Bacterial small subunit ribosomal RNA", at positions 373 to 876 of the family's 1533-position model. The record is from RNAcentral. Lineage: Bacteria; Pseudomonadati; Pseudomonadota; Gammaproteobacteria; Alteromonadales; Pseudoalteromonadaceae.
GGGCGCAAGCCUGAUGCAGCCAUGCCGCGUGUGUGAAGAAGGCCUUCGGGUUGUAAAGCACUUUCAGUCAGGAGGAAAGGUUAGUAGUUAAUACCUGCUAGCUGUGACGUUACUGACAGAAGAAGCACCGGCUAACUCCGUGCCAGCAGCCGCGGUAAUACGGAGGGUGCGAGCGUUAAUCGGAAUUACUGGGCGUAAAGCGUACGCAGGCGGUUUGUUAAGCGAGAUGUGAAAGCCCCGGGCUCAACCUGGGAACUGCAUUUCGAACUGGCAAACUAGAGUGUGAUAGAGGGUGGUAGAAUUUCAGGUGUAGCGGUGAAAUGCGUAGAGAUCUGAAGGAAUACCGAUGGCGAAGGCAGCCACCUGGGUCAACACUGACGCUCAUGUACGAAAGCGUGGGGAGCAAACAGGAUUAGAUACCCUGGUAGUCCACGCCGUAAACGAUGUCUACUAGAAGCUCGGAGCCUCGGCUCUGUUUUUCAAAGCUAACGCAUUAAGUAGACCGCCUGG